GCAGGUGCCAUGGCAGGCUCUCCACAGAAGCGGUUGAGGAUUUGAGAAGAGGUUGCAGAUGAUCAAGGAGCGACACGUGCAGGGAUGGCUUGAAAAGGGUGAUUAGCUUCAGGUUCCAGGUGGGACCUAGUGGUAACUGAGUUGCAGGUAUUCCAUGACAGAGCUCCUUCUGCCUGGGCUGCUUUUUGGGGUGAUUGGGUUUGGGUGCUGGGCGGGGCCGAAUGGUAUAUGAGCCCCAGGCAUGCUAUCAGAGAGCUCAUUCUGCCUGGGCUGCUCCUUGAGUAGGUAAACAUUAGGAGGAACCGGUCAAAGGUAACAGCGCUUUCUGGAACCGUCAAGUUCUUGUUCGGCAACGUAGUGACUGGUUUGAUCUACUUCACAGAUGGAGAGGCAAGUGGACUGCUCUCUUUGAAAUAAUAAAAUUGAAAACAUAAAGUUU
RNAcentral lists this long non-coding RNA (439 nucleotides) under Anas platyrhynchos platyrhynchos (common mallard). RNAcentral describes it as "lncRNA (ENSAPLG00000019950.1)". The record is from RNAcentral. Lineage: Eukaryota; Metazoa; Chordata; Aves; Anseriformes; Anatidae.